CUUAGGAGAAAUUCUAGUACAUGCAAACUUACUUUUGAAUCCUAUUUUGGCAACUACACCAAUUUUAGCUUCAGUAUAGAGGUAUAAUUUGGAGCCCUUCUUAUUGGAAGUAUUGGCUCAGCCUAAACUUGGAUGGACAACUGGCAGAAGGUUCAAGAACAAUAAUAAGAGGUUCUUUUGGGCGUUGAUUUGCAUGACUCCAUGAGCCUGAGGACUUUGGGCUGAAGAAAGAGAGAAACAGAAUCUAGAGGUAAGAGAAAUGGAAGGGAGGGGAGGAGAUGGGAUGGGGUGGCAUUUGGCGCCUCCUUCCAACAAUCUCUGACUCCGGGGGCCUAAUUACCUAGAUUGGGCUUUUGGGGGGAGGGGCUAAAAGUAUGAGUUGAUGACGCUAAUUUUUGUGGCAUUUUUGGAGGAGCAUCAAAGGAAAUAUAGUGCCUAUUACUUGAAGGUUUGGAAUUUUGGGGGUACUUGGGGAGAUGGCACCUGGGGCAGAGUGCCUAAGGAACUGGUGCCAGGGCAUGCACCCUCCUGCCACUGAUGGAACAGCCCUUGGCUGGGGACACAGGUGGGAUGUGUCUAUGUUCAGAAGAAAAGUGGUUUUUAAUAUACAUAUUAUCCAGUACAGAACAAAGUAUUUAUAAAUAGUUAAUGUUUGGGAAAAACAGCAUGAAAUUUUUAGCAACAAGAUAAAUAGAAUAUGUUCCAUGAUUAUCAAUUCAUAAUGUUUUACCUGUCAUUUAGUCUGUAUUUAUAUAGGUGUUGACGUUGCAUAAUAAAAGUGAAUGUGUCAAAAUAAAUAAAGUAGUAGUUCUCAAACUGGUUCUCUGGAACUCUCGGGUCCCUCAGGUACACAAAGGUGGGUGUGUGUUGGGAGAUGGAAUGAGGGAAUGUUGCUGCUUCAACUCAUCUGUCGUACUUUUAUCCAUUUUAUAUAUUGAGUUUCUGAUAUAUCAUUAUAAAGAAGGGUGCUUUCAAAAGUAAGAGUGCCACUAUUAUAUGAGCUUUCAAGGGUUAAAUUUUAGCCCGAAUUAUGGGGCCGCCAUGUGUUUGGAACACGAAUCUAUCUCUGAAGGUUCUCAAAUCAAAACAUUGGCUCUAUCAUCGUUUGUGGGAAUCAGAUUCUUUCUCCCGGGCCUCAUUAUCGUUAAUAAUGGAAAUGUACCUUUGGCUUUCCUAAAGGCACCUGGACUUACGAUCGCUCUCUCUGAUCUCUCUGGCUUCCCACCUGGAGAAGAGCGUGUACACGUUUCCCUGGUUCAAGCCUUGGGACUUUUCGAAGGAUGAAUGGAAGGGCAGGGCUCUGGGCAGAGUGGAGAUGGACCAGCAGGAGGCUCGCCGACCAGCCUGGAUCGAGGAGAAAGAAUGGCCAGCUUGAGGGUAGCUGGGGGUCCCGAGAUGGAGUCAUUCAGGGCACUAAGGAGUGAGAUGUGGGGACAAAGUGUUGAGUGAGCAUUGGUGAUUGCACCUCCUCCAAUCAAGCUGUGGGAUAUCUUUGAGGAGAGCCAAGCUUUCAAGUAAAAGUGAAGAGCUGGAGAGAGCUUUGAAGAGGAGGAGGGAGAAAGAAGCACGGCCUUGCUACUUGGAGAGGAUCAGAGAAGACAGGAAAAAAGGCAGUAGGAAAAGCAGCCAGAGGAUAGAGAGGCUGCUUACUAUUGUGAAAGAACACUGGAUUAGGAGUUAGACGAAAGACCGCGGUUUGAGUUUCAUCUUUGCCACCUAAACCCUUACAGGUUCUUUUCAUUUCCAUGGAAAGGUUAGAAUCAGCUUGUCAAUUUCCACAACAAAGCUAACUGGGAUUUCGCCCAUUUACAGAGGAUUGAAAGAUGGCCCCCAAAAAGGUAUGUCCAUGUCCUAAUCCCCGGAACUGUGAAAGUCACCCUAUUUGGAAAAAGAGGUCUUUGCAGAUGUAUUCAAGUUAAGGGAUCUUGAGAUGAGAGCAUCCUGAGUUAUUCAGGGGCAUCCUAAAUCCAAUGAUAAGUAUCCUUAUCGGAGGCACACACAGGAGAAAACAUACGACACACACAGAGGAGGAGGCAAUGUGAAAAUGGAGGACGAGAUUGGAGUGAUGUGGCCAAAGCCAAAGGAGCUGAGGAACCCAAAGAAUGCCAACAGCCCCCAAAAGCUGGAAGAGGCGAGGAAGGACUCUGCUCUAGAGCCACUAGAGGGAGUGAAGCCUCACUGACACCUUGGUCUCGGACUUCUGGCCUCCAGACGGUG
Molecule: long non-coding RNA, 2217 nt
Organism: Equus caballus (horse)
Lineage: Eukaryota; Metazoa; Chordata; Mammalia; Perissodactyla; Equidae
Source: Ensembl